RNAcentral lists this ribosomal RNA (404 nucleotides) under Fusobacteriota bacterium. Its description in RNAcentral is "Fusobacteria bacterium partial 16S ribosomal RNA". It matches the Rfam family "Bacterial small subunit ribosomal RNA", at positions 355 to 776 of the family's 1533-position model. Lineage: Bacteria; Fusobacteriati; Fusobacteriota. The record is from RNAcentral.
UGGGGAAUUUUGCACAAUGGAGGGAACUCUGAUGCAGCGACGCCGCGUGAGUGAUGAAGGAAUUCGUUUCGUAAAACUCUUUUCUAUGGGAAGAAAAGGUCUGUACCAUAGGAGAAAGCUCCGGCUAUAUACGUGCCAGCAGCCGCGGUAAUACGUAUGGAGCGAGCGUUUUCCGGAAUUAUUGGGCGUAAAGGGUGCGCAGGCGGCUUUACAAGUUGGAUGUGAAAUAUUGUGGCUCAACCACAAACGUGCAUCCAAAACUGCAAAGCUUGAGUUAAGGAGAGGUAAGUGGAAUUCCUGGUGUAGCGGUGGAAUGCGUAGAUAUCAGGAGGAAUACCGGUGGCGAAGGCGACUUACUGGACUUAAACUGACGCUCAGGGACGAAAGCGUGGGGAGCAAAAAGG